CGGAGGGUGCAAGCGUUGUCCGGAUUUAUUGGGUUUAAAGGGUGCGUAGGUGGCCUUAUAAGUCAGCGGUGAAAGUCUGCAGCUUAACUGUAGAACUGCCAUUGAUACUGUAAGGCUUGAGUACUGAUGAGGUAGGCGGAAUUGAUAGUGUAGCGGUGAAAUGCAUAGAUAUUAUCAAGAACACCGAUUGCGAAGGCAGCUUACUAAGGAGUUACUGACACUGAGGCACGAAAGCGUGGGGAUCAAACAGGAUUAGAUACCCUGGUAGUCCACGCCAUAAACGAUGAUUACUCGAUGUAUGCGAUAGACAGUAUGCGUCCAAGCGAAAGCGUUAAGUAAUCCACCUGGGGAGUACGACCGCAAGGUUG
Molecule: ribosomal RNA, 368 nt
Filed under: uncultured organism
Description: bacterial SSU rRNA
Rfam family: Bacterial small subunit ribosomal RNA
Source: RNAcentral